GGCGGCGUGCCUAAUACAUGCAAGUCGAGCGGACAGAAGGGAGCUUGCUCCCGGAUGUUAGCGGCGGACGGGUGAGUAACACGUGGGUAACCUGCCUGUAAGACUGGGAUAACUCCGGGAAACCGGAGCUAAUACCGGAUAGUUCCUUGAACCGCAUGGUUCAAGGAUGAAAGACGGUUUCGGCUGUCACUUACAGAUGGACCCGCGGCGCAUUAGCUAGUUGGUGGGGUAAUGGCUCACCAAGGCGACGAUGCGUAGCCGACCUGAGAGGGUGAUCGGCCACACUGGGACUGAGACACGGCCCAGACUCCUACGGGAGGCAGCAGUAGGGAAUCUUCCGCAAUGGACGAAAGUCUGACGGAGCAACGCCGCGUGAGUGAUGAAGGUUUUCGGAUCGUAAAGCUCUGUUGUUAGGGAAGAACAAGUGCGAGAGUAACUGCUCGCACCUUGACGGUACCUAACCAGAAAGCCACGGCUAACUACGUGCCAGCAGCCGCGGUAAUACGUAGGUGGCAAGCGUUGUCCGGAAUUAUUGGGCGUAAAGGGCUCGCAGGCGGUUUCUUAAGUCUGAUGUGAAAGCCCCCGGCUCAACCGGGGAGGGUCAUUGGAAACUGGGAAACUUGAGUGCAGAAGAGGAGAGUGGAAUUCCACGUGUAGCGGUGAAAUGCGUAGAGAUGUGGAGGAACACCAGUGGCGAAGGCGACUCUCUGGUCUGUAACUGACGCUGAGGAGCGAAAGCGUGGGGAGCGAACAGGAUUAGAUACCCUGGUAGUCCACGCCGUAAACGAUGAGUGCUAAGUGUUAGGGGGUUUCCGCCCCUUAGUGCUGCAGCUAACGCAUUAAGCACUCCGCCUGGGGAGUACGGUCGCAAGACUGAAACUCAAAGGAAUUGACGGGGGCCCGCACAAGCGGUGGAGCAUGUGGUUUAAUUCGAAGCAACGCGAAGAACCUUACCAGGUCUUGACAUCCUCUGACAACCCUAGAGAUAGGGCUUUCCCUUCGGGGACAGAGUGACAGGUGGUGCAUGGUUGUCGUCAGCUCGUGUCGUGAGAUGUUGGGUUAAGUCCCGCAACGAGCGCAACCCUUGAUCUUAGUUGCCAGCAUUCAGUUGGGCACUCUAAGGUGACUGCCGGUGACAAACCGGAGGAAGGUGGGGAUGACGUCAAAUCAUCAUGCCCCUUAUGACCUGGGCUACACACGUGCUACAAUGGACAGAACAAAGGGCUGCAAGACCGCAAGGUUUAGCCAAUCCCAUAAAUCUGUUCUCAGUUCGGAUCGCAGUCUGCAACUCGACUGCGUGAAGCUGGAAUCGCUAGUAAU
RNAcentral lists this ribosomal RNA (1320 nucleotides) under Bacillus sp. C-2-4. Its description in RNAcentral is "bacterial SSU rRNA". It matches the Rfam family "Bacterial small subunit ribosomal RNA", at positions 38 to 1342 of the family's 1533-position model. The record is from RNAcentral. Lineage: Bacteria; Bacillati; Bacillota; Bacilli; Caryophanales; Bacillaceae.